CCGUGUAAAUCUUAGUGCCAUGCACUGUAUUCAUCGCUUUGCUCUAGUGCAUUUUAGUGUCAUUUAUUUCAGUGUAAGAAGCACUUUAAUUCUACUGAUAUCUCUUUAGCUACAAUGCUCUUAUUUUCUGUUAUUUACAGUAAAUUGGUUUGGUAUGCUUUCCUAAUUUUUUUAGUUCCAACACUGAUUCAUAAUUUCAUCAGGCUUUGGGAAUGUGUAUAUCACUCCUAUGAUGCAUAAAAGGAUUAAUUUUCGAAGAGUUUGAUGUGUUGCACCCACCUGUUCCUAAGCAAGAUAAUCGCCAUGACUGUGGUGUCUUUACAUUUAAGUAUAUGGAUAUCUUCACACCAAGAACUCAGAUGUCAAUCCUUUUCUCUAGUGUAGACAUUCCAAAUCUUAGGAUCAAAUAUGUGAAUGACAUGCAUUUUCAGCCACUUGAACAGUUCUGACAAAUCUUUUGUCACUGAUUUCUUUGGUGAUGGAGGCAAUGCCAAGUGAGGUUCAGCAUGUGCGCAGUCCUAGCUCAAAUGGUGACUGAGUUUUAUUUUUCAGUAGCAUGUAAUCUAAACAAAGUAGCAUGCAAUCUGAGCAUAGUAGUAUUUGUUUAGUAGUGUUCUAUGUUUCAUUUUGAUUGUAAGGUUGUUGGAUACUGUCAUGUCUUUAUGCCUGUGACUCGGCAGUACGUAUUUGAGCACGUUAAUACUACAGUGCUUAAAAAAAUUGAUUCUAUAUCAGGGGUCCCUUUCUUAAUGAUCAUUGUUCCUUGUAUCUCA
Long non-coding RNA from Triticum dicoccoides, 773 nucleotides. RefSeq lists it as uncharacterized. The record is from RefSeq and is a predicted model, not a curated record. The transcript is spliced from 3 exons. NCBI's taxonomy places the organism in Eukaryota, Viridiplantae, Streptophyta, Magnoliopsida, Poales, Poaceae.